This 467-nucleotide ribosomal RNA is filed under the name uncultured bacterium. RNAcentral describes it as "partial 16S ribosomal RNA". It matches the Rfam family "Bacterial small subunit ribosomal RNA", at positions 28 to 507 of the family's 1533-position model. The record is from RNAcentral.
GAUGAACGCUGGCGGCGUGCUUAACACAUGCAAGUCGAACGGACAAGCAGAGCUUGCUCUGUGUACCAGUGGCGCACGGGGGUGUAACACGUGAGCAAACUGCCCCUUACCCUGCGUUAUGCCCUGGAAACAGCGUCUAAAACUGGAGAUAAGCUGCGACCGCAUGGACUGUUGCUGGAAAGAUUUUUCGGAUUGGGAUGGGCUCACGGCCUAUCUGCUUGUUGGUGAGGUUACGGCUCACCAAGGCGUCGACGGGACGCCGGCCUGAGAGGGUGACCGGCCACAGUGGGACUGGGGCACGGCCCAGAGUCCUACGGGGGGCAGCAGUGGGGGACAUUGCGCGAUGGGCGGAGGCCGGAUGCAGCAACGCCGCGUCGGGGAUGACGGUUUUCGGGUUGUAAACCGCUUUUGGCAGGAAAGAAGCGACAGUGACGGUACCUGCAGAGAAAGCGCCGGCUAACUACGUG